CCUCUGUACACGUACACACAUCAUAAAGUGAAUAGACGAAAAGAGCAACAGACAACACAAUCUUUAACAGUCAUGAGUUCAGCACAGCAGUCUAUCCUGAUUUUCUCAGCUCUGUGGACUCUCUGCUUGGGUAGGACCACUCAGUUUCAUGUGAUGAAACAAGCAAUGGUCUGGACUGAAGCUCAAAAAUACUGCAGGGACUAUUUCACUGAUCUGGUUACCAUUCACAACCAAGAGGAAAUGAACACCAUAAUAGCAAAAGUGAAUGGAAUAACCGGCCAUUUUUGGAUAGGAUUGAUGCCCAAAAUGCAAAACAACAGUAUUACCUGGGUCUGGUCUGAUGGGAGCAAUGCCUCGUACAGAUACUGGAAUACUAGUCAGCCAGGUGCUGC
Astyanax mexicanus (Mexican tetra) is the source of this 392-nucleotide long non-coding RNA. RefSeq lists it as uncharacterized. NCBI's taxonomy places the organism in Eukaryota, Metazoa, Chordata, Actinopteri, Characiformes, Acestrorhamphidae. The record is from RefSeq and is a predicted model, not a curated record. The transcript has 4 exons.